This 73-nucleotide transfer RNA is filed under the name Archangium sp. Its description in RNAcentral is "tRNA-Lys". It matches the Rfam family "tRNA". From Rfam's summary of the family: Transfer RNA (tRNA) molecules are approximately 80 nucleotides in length. Lineage: Bacteria; Pseudomonadati; Myxococcota; Myxococcia; Myxococcales; Archangiaceae. The record is from RNAcentral.
GAGUGGCUAGCUCAGUUGGUAGAGCACCGGCCUUUUAAGCCGAGGGUCGGGGGUUCAAAUCCCCCGCCACUCA